UAUAACCAAAGAGAGAGGAGAAGAAGAAGGGGAGGGAGAGGACAAGCGCACCACGUGACGGUGAAAAGCCUGCAGGCUGCUGUGCUGGGAAAGGCAGAGACAUCCCCCCAUAUUGACGCUGCCGUUUCACCACAACAACAGUUCUGGGAAAUGGCCGCCGUCUGUACUGUAGCUGCUAUUUACAUGGGACUGAUUCAGCCCGGCUUAUCGCUUUCAUCACCAGCUACAGCGGCUGGUUGGUCUGACCUUUCUCUCCUCCCACUGAUUCCCUCCUCCCGCUUUUUUUUCUUAAUGCCCUCUGUAAAGGUUUAUGUUGCAUGAAUGAAAAAUAGAAAAACAGAAAAAAAACAAUGAAAAUAAGAAAAACAAGACAAGUAUAAAGCAAGUUGGAGUCAGGGAUGGUCAGAGAUUAGAUUGGGGUAGGGGAGGAGGAAGAGGAUGGGGGGUGGGGGGGUGCUCAGUCUGAAACAGAAGCACUGGAGACAUGAGUCAUGGCAAGCAGUCUCCCAGGGGGCUUGUUGGUGCAGUCUAUAAAUGGAAAUAGCAGAAAAACAGCGGCUUCCCUCGCCCACCCAGGACCAGAUGCAAGACUACUGAUGAAAAUUAAAAAAUGAGGUAUAUACGCUCUGCCUUUGUCUUUCCUGGCCACACUACCUGCCAGCAUGAUGCCAUCAGAGGCGGCGUCUCGUCAUCUCGUCGCUCCGUGGCUGCUGGGCUGCCGCCAGUAGCGCCGCACCACCUGCUCCCACCCCUCCCUCUCCUUCCUUCCUACCUCUGGGUGCAAUCUGCCCACCUGCUUCCAUGGGUUCAUCCUCGAGAUCAUCCCCUCGAGGCAGUGAAGACAUUAUCUCAGUGGAGUAAAAAGCUAGAGGUAAAGUGACAGAGCUAGUUUUAAGUGCCUCUCUGAAAACACCACAGAAGCCCUUUGGCUGUUUCUGUCUCUGUCUCUUUUUUUUUUUUGUAUUUAAGCACAGCAAAGUUUUCAGAUUGGAUUAAAAUGAACAGAAGGGGUUUGCAGGUGAGGAGUCGUGGCUCCCUGCUGAAGGCUAGCCCCGUGUUUGUUGUUGGCGUUGUUGUUAUAGUCAUAAUAUUGUGCGUUUAUCUGGAGAUGAUGCUGACGUUCCCGUGGUGACUGAUACUAGACAGCUCUGCUGUUUCAUCAGAUGCCGGUGUAAUCUUUUGGGCAGAAAAUGAAUAAAUGUCUGGAACAAUUUGCCAA
Molecule: long non-coding RNA, 1219 nt
Organism: Oreochromis niloticus (Nile tilapia)
Lineage: Eukaryota; Metazoa; Chordata; Actinopteri; Cichliformes; Cichlidae
Exons: 3
Source: RefSeq, a predicted model, not a curated record